UACGGGGGGGGCAAGCGUUGUUCGGAAUUACUGGGCGUAAAGGGCUCGUAGGUGGCCAACUAAGUCAGACGUGAAAUCCCUCGGCUUAACCGGGGAACUGCGUCUGAUACUGGAUGGCUUGAGUUUGGGAGAGGGAUGCGGAAUUCCAGGUGUAGCAGUGAAAUGCGUAGAUAUCUGGAGGAACACCGGUGGCGAAGGCGGCAUCCUGGACCAACACUGACACUGAGGAGCGAAAGCCAGGGGAGCAAACGGG
RNAcentral lists this ribosomal RNA (253 nucleotides) under uncultured bacterium. RNAcentral's name for it is "partial 16S ribosomal RNA". It matches the Rfam family "Bacterial small subunit ribosomal RNA", at positions 524 to 776 of the family's 1533-position model. The record is from RNAcentral.